RNAcentral lists this ribosomal RNA (497 nucleotides) under uncultured bacterium. Its description in RNAcentral is "partial 16S ribosomal RNA". It matches the Rfam family "Bacterial small subunit ribosomal RNA", at positions 28 to 507 of the family's 1533-position model. The record is from RNAcentral.
GAUGAACGCUGGCGGCGUGCCUAAUACAUGCAAGUCGAGCGAACAGACGAGGAGCUUGCUCCUCUGACGUUAGCGGCGGACGGGUGAGUAACACGUGGAUAACCUACCUAUAAGACUGGGAUAACUUCGGGAAGCCGGAGCUAAUACCGGAUAAUAUAUUGAACCGCAUGGUUCAAUAGUGAAAGACGGUUUUGCUGUCACUUAUAGAUGGAUCCGCGCCGCAUUAGCUAGUUGGUAAGGUAACGGCUUACCAAGGCAACGAUGCGUAGCCGACCUGAGAGGGUGAUCGGCCACACUGGAACUGAGACACGGUCCAGACUCCUACGGGAGGCAGCAGUAGGGAAUCUUCCGCAAUGGGCGAAAGCCUGACGGAGCAACGCCGCGUGAGUGAUGAAGGUCUUCGGAUCGUAAAACACUGUUAUUAGGGAAGAACAAAUGUGUAAGUAACUAUGCACGUCUUGACGGUACCUAAUCAGAAAGCCACGGCUAACUACGUG